GCGAAAGUAGCUCAGUGGUAGAGCAUCACCUUGCCAAGGUGAGGGUCGCGGGUCCGAAUCCCGUCUUUCGCUCAA
Molecule: transfer RNA, 75 nt
Filed under: Lutibacter sp.
Lineage: Bacteria; Pseudomonadati; Bacteroidota; Flavobacteriia; Flavobacteriales; Flavobacteriaceae
Description: tRNA-Gly
Rfam family: tRNA
About the family: Transfer RNA (tRNA) molecules are approximately 80 nucleotides in length. Their secondary structure includes four short double-helical elements and three loops (D, anti-codon, and T loops).
Source: RNAcentral